This is a non-coding RNA of Ictidomys tridecemlineatus (thirteen-lined ground squirrel), 842 nucleotides long. Lineage: Eukaryota; Metazoa; Chordata; Mammalia; Rodentia; Sciuridae. The record is from RefSeq and is a predicted model, not a curated record.
AGUCUUUGAGGGACACUUCAUAUCCGCACCAUCACACAAACCUUGUAAUAUUAUUUAAAUCUAUUAUCUAUGCACAUGCAUUCUCCUUCAAUAUGAAAUUCAAUUUAAAAAUUAAAAUAGGAUGAUGAAGGCUGUCUUGGAGGAAUGUGCAAGAAUAUGCAUUUAUUCUUAAUGACAUAAUGUCUCUAAUUAGUAAAACUGUGAAAAGGUUUUACUAGGCUAAGUGCGGAGGCCUGUGAAAAUACAUCAGCAAUCCCCAACAUAGAGAUGAGCAUGUUCCAAAAGCUUAUUUCUAUUUUUUUUUAACACCUCUGUUGGAAAAUGCCCGGAUUAGUCCACCUGGGGCAGAAAGCAGAACUUCCAAGAAUCCCAGCAUUGGCUGCCACUCAGGGUGUAGAGGAAAUACAAUUUGUAUCAAAAAGGGGAAUUGGGAGCUUGGGAGACCUCCAGGAGAGAGGAGUGAGAAGAGAGAAAGGAGGAGAAACAUCCCAAGAGUCAACACACAAGGACAUAAGUGCCAGAGAGGCCCCUGCUGACUCAGGUAUUUUCUGCUGCAACUGGUGAUUCAUCUGCCUCCUACUUCAACCUGCAAGCUCCUGUUCACUCAGGGAGAAACCAGUGGCCACACCGUGAGGACAAGACGGUAAGGAGCUGGGAUCUCUUGUCAACAUCCAUAUGAGCCCUCUUGGAUGUGGCUUCUCCAACCCCAGUCAAUCCUUCUGAUGACUUCAGCCCCAGCUGACAACUUAAACAUGACUGAAAACUCUAAAAACCGAGCCAGAACCACCCAGAGAAGCGCCUCUCAGAAGCCAUGCAAGAUAAUAAAUGUUCUAAGUAGUUAA